RNAcentral lists this ribosomal RNA (478 nucleotides) under uncultured bacterium. RNAcentral's name for it is "bacterial SSU rRNA". It matches the Rfam family "Bacterial small subunit ribosomal RNA", at positions 29 to 506 of the family's 1533-position model. The record is from RNAcentral.
AUGAACGCUGGCGGCGUGCUUUACACAUGCAAGUUGAGCGAGGCCACCCGCAAGGGUGAGUCGAGCGGCGAACGGGUGAGUAACGCGUGGAUAACCUGCCCUGAGGUGGGGAAUAACCCGGGGAAACUCGGGCUAAUACCGCAUGAUACCGAGAGGUCAAAGAGGGGUCGCAAGAUCUCUUGCCACAGGAGGGGUCCGCGUUCGAUUAGCUAGUUGGUAGGGUAAUGGCCUACCAAGGCGACGAUCGAUAGCCGGCCUGAGAGGGUGAUCGGCCACACUGGAACUGAGACACGGUCCAGACUCCUACGGGAGGCAGCAGUGGGGAAUUUUGCGCAAUGGGCUAACGCCUGACGCAGCAACGCCGCGUGGAGGAUGAAGGUCUUUGGAUUGUAAACUCCUGUCAGCAGGGAAAAAGGGAGGCGACCUAAUACGUCGUCAACUUGAUUGUACCUGCAGAGGAAGCCCCGGCUAACUCUGU